Molecule: microRNA, 23 nt
Filed under: Blattella germanica (German cockroach)
Lineage: Eukaryota; Metazoa; Arthropoda; Insecta; Blattodea; Blattellidae
Description: Bge-Novel-12_3p (mature (guide))
Source: RNAcentral
CUACGAACCAGAAUGACAUCGCG